RNAcentral lists this ribosomal RNA (467 nucleotides) under uncultured bacterium. RNAcentral describes it as "partial 16S ribosomal RNA". It matches the Rfam family "Bacterial small subunit ribosomal RNA", at positions 28 to 507 of the family's 1533-position model. The record is from RNAcentral.
GACGAACGCUGGCGGCGUGCUUAACACAUGCAAGUCGAACGGAAAGGCUUCUUUCGGGGGGUACUCGAGUGGCGAACGGGUGAGUAACACGUGAGUAACCUGCCCUUGACUUUGGGAUAACUUCAGGAAACUGGGGCUAAUACCGGAUAGGAGCUCCUGCUGCAUGGUGGGGGUUGGAAAGUUUCGGCGGUUGGGGAUGGACUCGCGGCUUAUCAGCUUGUUGGUGGGGUAGUGGCUUACCAAGGCUUUGACGGGUAGCCGGCCUGAGAGGGUCACCGGCCACAUUGGGACUGAGAUACGGCCCAGACUCCUACGGGAGGCAGCAGUGGGGAAUAUUGCACAAUGGGUGGAAGCCUGAUGCAGCAACGCCGUGUGCGGGAUGACGGCCUUCGGGUUGUAAACCGCUUUCGCUCAUGACGAAGCUUUGUGUGACGGUAGUGGGUAAAGAAGCACCGGCUAACUACGUG